This 73-nucleotide transfer RNA is filed under the name Stegodyphus mimosarum. It matches the Rfam family "tRNA". Rfam says of the family: Transfer RNA (tRNA) molecules are approximately 80 nucleotides in length. Their secondary structure includes four short double-helical elements and three loops (D, anti-codon, and T loops). Lineage: Eukaryota; Metazoa; Arthropoda; Arachnida; Araneae; Eresidae. The record is from Rfam by way of RNAcentral.
GUCUUUGUAGUGUAGUGGUGGGCAGGCUUGACUCGUAUUCGAGAGGUCCGUGGUUCGAUUGCCGGCGAAGGCA